Small nuclear RNA from Nannospalax galili (Upper Galilee mountains blind mole rat), 107 nucleotides. NCBI's taxonomy places the organism in Eukaryota, Metazoa, Chordata, Mammalia, Rodentia, Spalacidae. The record is from Ensembl.
AUGCUCACCUCAGCAGCACAUAAACAAAUGGAAAGGAUACAGAGAAGAUUAACAUGGUCCCUGUGCAAGAAUGACAUGCAAGGGGGCUAGAGAGAUGACUCAGCAAU